RNAcentral lists this ribosomal RNA (569 nucleotides) under uncultured bacterium. RNAcentral's name for it is "partial 16S ribosomal RNA". It matches the Rfam family "Bacterial small subunit ribosomal RNA", at positions 355 to 914 of the family's 1533-position model. The record is from RNAcentral.
UGGGGAAUAUUGGACAAUGGGGGCAACCCUGAUCCAGCCAUGCCGCGUGUGUGAAGAAGGCCUUUUGGUUGUAAAGCACUUUAAGCAGGGAGGAGAGGCUAAUGGUUAAUACCCAUUAGAUUAGACGUUACCUGCAGAAUAAGCACCGGCUAACUCUGUGCCAGCAGCCGCGGUAAUACAGAGGGUGCGAGCGUUAAUCGGAAUUACUGGGCGUAAAGCGAGUGUAGGUGGCUCAUUAAGUCACAUGUGAAAUCCCCGGGCUUAACCUGGGAACUGCAUGUGAUACUGGUGGUGCUAGAAUAUGUGAGAGGGAAGUAGAAUUCCAGGUGUAGCGGUGAAAUGCGUAGAGAUCUGGAGGAAUACCGAUGGCGAAGGCAGCUUCCUGGCAUAAUAUUGACACUGAGAUUCGAAAGCGUGGGUAGCAAACAGGAUUAGAUACCCUGGUAGUCCACGCCGUAAAACGAUGUCUACUAGCCGUUGGGGUCCUUGAGACUUUAGUGGCGCAGUUAACGCGAUAAGUAGACCGCCUGGGGAGUACGGCCGCAAGGUUAAAACUCAAAGGAAUUGAC